Molecule: unclassified non-coding RNA, 285 nt
Filed under: plant metagenome
Description: partial contains small subunit ribosomal RNA, internal transcribed spacer 1, and 5.8S ribosomal RNA
Rfam family: Eukaryotic small subunit ribosomal RNA (bases 1-54)
Source: RNAcentral
GGAAGUAAAAGUCGUAACUAGGGUUCCGUAGGGGAACCUGCGGAAGGAUCAUUAUUGUAUAACCGAGGUGCGAGGGCUGUCGCUGACCCGAAAGGUCGUGCACGCCCGAGUGCCCUCACACACAUCCAUCUCACCCCUAUGUGCACCACCGCGUGGGUCCCCCUUUGGCUUGUUCGGAGGGGGGCUUACGUUUUCACACAAACUUUGUAUGCAGUGUAGAAUGUAUUUUUUGUUUUUGCGAUCACGCAAUCAAUACAACUUUCAACAACGGAUCUCUUGGCUCUC